GAUGAACGCUGGCGGCGUGCCUAAUACAUGCAAGUCGAGCGAACAGACGAGGAGCUUGCUCCUCUGACGUUAGCGGCGGACGGGUGAGUAACACGUGGAUAACCUACCUAUAAGACUGGGAUAACUUCGGGAAACCGGAGCUAAUACCGGAUAAUAUAUUGAACCGCAUGGUUCAAUAGUGAAAGACGGUUUUGCUGUCACUUAUAGAUGGAUCCGCGCCGCAUUAGCUAGUUGGUAAGGUAACGGCUUACCAAGGCGACGAUGCGUAGCCGACCUGAGAGGGUGAUCGGCCACACUGGAACUGAGACACGGCCCAGACACCUACGGGAGGCAGCAGUAGGGAAUCUUCCGAAAUGGGCGAAAGCCUGACGGAGCAACGCCGCGUGAGUGAUGAAGGUCUUCGGAUCGUAAAACUCUGUUAUUAGGGAAGAACAAAUGUGUAAGUAACGAUGCACGUCUUGACGGUACCUAAGCAGAAAGCCACGGCUAACUACGU
This 496-nucleotide ribosomal RNA is filed under the name uncultured bacterium. RNAcentral's name for it is "partial 16S ribosomal RNA". It matches the Rfam family "Bacterial small subunit ribosomal RNA", at positions 28 to 506 of the family's 1533-position model. The record is from RNAcentral.